CUGGCCGCGGCCCGGAACCGCGAGGACGCAGCUCGGAGGCCGCGUCCUGCCUAGCCGGAGCGGGGGAGGGGGCUGAGACUGGGAGCCGCGGCCGGGCGUCGCCAGGCGGCCGAUCGAUCCCCAGGGGCGGGAGCGCUGCAAGCUCCGUUGAACACCUGGGGGGGGUUGUCCUCUCAGGACCGAGGGCCGAGCGGGGAGGGUGCUCAGGGAUCCUGUGUCGGCAGAUGGAGGCUGGUAGGGUCCAAUCUGAAAGGCUGCAACUCGGGCUCCACGAGGGGGUAACGCCAUGAGCACCCCCCCCCCAAUUCUACGUAGUCUGUGUCUGGAUGGGCUAUUUCUGGAACCUGGGCCUGUCCUCCGUGCAACUUCAUCACUCCCUGUGUAGGCUCCCGCCCCACCCCCACUUGCGAUGAUGAAAUCGUGGGACGUGGUCACCCAGGCCAUCUUCGGGCCUCCCUGAAUCCUGAAAUAUAGUGGCUGGAAAAUGUCAGCUGGCUACUCCUGUGCCCGUCUGAGAGGUGCAAAGGCUGCUUCCUGGUGACUACUCCUGGGACCAGAGCCCCCAAGAGCCCGAGGACAAGAGCUGCUAUUGAGAAGCCAAGGAGUGUCACGCCGAGACACAGAGGUCUUGCUACAGGAGCCAGUGUGUGAGAGCGAGAUCUUUCUUGCAAUUCUAAAAGGCAGCUAUGAGCUUGUUAAUACUCAGAGACAUCUGGGGAUGGCUCCCUCCUCCGUUUGGCCAUGUGACUUUUUCAUGUCCUUCUUAUCCCCCCCCAGAGGUACAUUCCUGUUCUUACCAUGCCCUGCCUC
Long non-coding RNA from Nannospalax galili (Upper Galilee mountains blind mole rat), 810 nucleotides. RefSeq lists it as uncharacterized. The record is from RefSeq and is a predicted model, not a curated record. The transcript has 3 exons. NCBI's taxonomy places the organism in Eukaryota, Metazoa, Chordata, Mammalia, Rodentia, Spalacidae.